Molecule: ribosomal RNA, 978 nt
Filed under: Triticum aestivum (bread wheat)
Lineage: Eukaryota; Viridiplantae; Streptophyta; Magnoliopsida; Poales; Poaceae
Description: partial small subunit ribosomal RNA
Source: RNAcentral
AUGGCGCCACAGCCGGAGUCGACGCAGGAGGAGGCCGCGGAGGCCUGCCGGCGCGCGGAGGCGCUCUUCCGCGCCGGCGACGUGCGUGCGGCGCACCGCAUGGCGCAGAGGGCCCAGACGCUCUCCCCCGCGCUGCCCGGCGUCGCGAGCGCCCUCGCCGCCUACGCCGUCCACGCCGCGGCCGCCAACCGAGGCGGCCGCCCCGACUGGCGCGCCGUCCUCGGCCUCGGGCGUGCUCGGGAGCCGCUCGACGCCGGCCUGAGCGAGCAUGAUGUUAUCAGGAGGCAGUUCCGGCGGAUGUCCCUCCUCGUCCACCCCGACAAGAACCCCUCCGCCGCCGCGGAAGGCGCGUUCAAGCUGCUCCGCCAGGCCUGCGACACCCUCUCCGCCACCGCCAGCCGCCACCGGCCGGGCAGUGCCACUGCAGCCUCUACACCGGCCGGGCAGUACCACCGGCGCAGCUAUGCCACACCAGCAGGCGUGCGCGACACGUACGCCGAGGCCGCCACCAAGUACGCACCGUCCCCGGCCACCACCAAGAAGCCUACCACGGCCACCGCCGGCAACCACCGGCCCAGCAACGACGCCGCCGCCAAGCACACCGCGGAUCACUGGCGCAACACCCCCGCCUACGCCUCAGCCGCCGGACUCGACGACGACUACGACUACGACUACCACGACGACUACUACGACUACUCGAGCCACUACUACAACUACCACGGGCAGGACGACACCGCUGAAACGUACACCCCGGCCGCUGGCCACAAGGACGACGAUGGCGCCGCUGAAACGCGCAACCCCGCCACCGGCAACAAAGGCGGCGGGUCUUGUGGACCCCGCGAGGACGCACGGAUCAUCUGUCUGUCCUGCGAUUGGGAAGGCGGGGUCACUAAGCCGACCGGCGUCCCGGUGCCAGGCAGCGAGUGCUCCUGGUGCGGCCAGACGAUGACUCGGGUCUCUGGUGCCGCCAUGGACUAG